This 715-nucleotide long non-coding RNA is filed under the name Dermacentor andersoni. RNAcentral describes it as "uncharacterized LOC126545177". The record is from RNAcentral. Lineage: Eukaryota; Metazoa; Arthropoda; Arachnida; Ixodida; Ixodidae.
UUCGAGUUUUCUUUCGUCUCAAGAACGGUGUCCCCCCUUAAGUAGUCGUUUGUGUUGCCUGCAUCAGCUGAUCAAUAUUCCCUGAAUUUCAGAGGGGGCUAGAAACAACACAACAUGAGCUAGUAUGUCUGUAAGAAUAGUGGCAGACCAGCUGACAACACUGCCGCUGGAGCAUCAUCUGUGCCUAAAAGCCCCUGCAGAAACCAUUGAGCCCGCCAACCCCUGUGUAAGCAACCGCAUCCUUACCCGAGGUAGCGCGAAGAAGGAAGCUUCGUAGCUGUGAUAUCAUCGACCAGCUUUCUGCAUGGGAGCCCCAGUUGUCCGUAGAAGAUUGCUACAAAGUAUUCCAGGUUGAAAAUCAAGCCUUUCCGGUUAGCAGAAAUGGUGUGCCUCCUAAUCAAAACAUGGCUACAGCCACAGUUCAUUUGCAAAUCCGAAUGGUAACUUUUGAAAGCACCACAAAUCAGUCGUGUGUGUGUGUGUUCUGACAAUGGUAUAUUUUUUACAGCCAUUAUUUAGGCAAACAAGUCUUUUAGAACAUUGGUUACUAUAAAGAUAUAUUCAAGUGAGCAUUGUGAAUGCACUUUUCCUGCCUUUUAAGUUUACAAUUCUGUCAAAGUCACAGCCUGUUAUUUUUCUGUGCUGUUUGCUUUAUUUGAAAAUCAAGUGUACUACAGUUAGUGAUGCUCUCAAAAAAAUAAAAAAAGCUACUUGA